RNAcentral lists this long non-coding RNA (704 nucleotides) under Homo sapiens (human). RNAcentral's name for it is "HSALNT0116654". Lineage: Eukaryota; Metazoa; Chordata; Mammalia; Primates; Hominidae. The record is from RNAcentral.
GGUUUCCUUAAACUUAGUGCCCAUCUCAGUUGAUCAGAGGGCAUCUAUUUCAGUCUCUCAGAUCACGUGGAAUCUCUUGAUCGGUUCCACAUGGACCAGCUUCUGACACCCUGGCUGCAGAACAGAAGCGGCGGCUGGGAGAGCUGGAAUCCCGUCUCCAACUCUCUGCAGCCGACUCCAUCUGCGCAUCACUCCGAUCUGUAUUACAGUGAUUACUCCGGCGUCUGCAUCUCGUCCUGAGGUCCUGAACUUUGGGAUGGCACCGACCAUCUGUGACUGUCCGACUCAAAACAUCGGUGCCUGGCACAGGAAGCAUCUCAUUCUGUCUCUCCUCACCCCCCUUAUGCAUUUCACCCAUCACCAAGGCCCAUAGAGUCUACCUUGCAGCGUCUCACCAAUUCACCUGUCUCUCUAAGGCCACUGGCACCUCAUGCCAGCCCUACUAAUGGGCUCCUUCCUUCGCCCCUCCUCCAGUCUAGUCAAUAUGUUACCAAAGCAUUAUCCCUCUCCACUGCUCUGCCCUUCAAUCAUCUGUACCACAAAAUGUGACUCAAUAAAUUCAAGCUGCUAUUCCAAACGUGGCCUCAUUUGUCACACCAGCCUCAAGCUUCAUCUCGCACCACUCAGAGUCUGCUCCACACCAAACCCAGCAGGACCAGGGCAAGGCCUUGCAGGCAGGAGGUGCUCAGUAAAGGACCAUGCAA